UUUGGAACUACGUUUGACGAAGAAGAUAUCUUCGUGUCGGACAGCGGCUUCAGGAUGACCCAGGGAAUGUCUGAUUGAUCUUCAAAAUGAUUCUUCCCUCAAUCGAUUCACCCAUCGAGCAGUGGACCAAUAAUUUUCAAUAUCGACGUCAAUCUUCUUGAUAUCCGGCCUGAUUUGAAUACAUUCGCCUAAAAUUCACCACAGAGACACAGAAUCAGGCUGAAAGACAGACCCUCGGAACGGCCGUCAUUUAAUCCAAUGUUUUACAUGACGAUGGAAACAUCUUCCAACUUUUGGUCGUCUACGUACCACUGGAAGGGCGGAACUGUUCCGAUCCGGCCGCAAGUCUUGACACAAAACAAUGAUGGUGUCACGGUGUAGUAUCCCUUUGUACGGCCAUCCACAUCGGCCAAUCGACUCCGGACAUCCACUCUCAUUGUGACUCGAGUACGACGGCAGAGCGUACUCACCUGCGAAUACGAGAGGAUAAUUGCGUUAAGUGAAGAAAUGCGACGAUUCGUGGAACGAGAGUCGAUCGAAUAUCAAAGGGACAUGGAUUGUUCCUCCGCACGUAUCUGUUUUUAAAUUUUUUAAAUUAUUUAUUAACCCCUUUUUGUAUUCAAAUGUAGACAAACCGUAUUGGUCAAAAGUUAUGGGUCGAGGUGUUGUUGCACGGGCAGUGACUGGAUGAGCUGUUGGAAGUGACGGGCGUCGGGUGUUGGGACGUCGAGUACUGGUCGAGGACGACGGGUGGCGGCAGUGUUCCAGGAUUUUCCAUCCAGGGAAUAAUAUUGGUCAGAUCCACACCCGGAAUGAAAACCCUGGGUCCUCCAGCGACUACCGAGUUUUUCCACAGCUGAUGCAGCCACUGACUGUUGCUGGAAUUCUUGCCAUUGUUGUUGAUAGUCACGUUUGAUAAGAAAUGAAAAUUUUUAAAAGUGCCAGUACUGUACCUUGGAGGGUGAAAGACAGACCGGUGGAUUUGUCUUCUUCAAGUCCCAUAUUCCGCAUGGAAAUGGUCACAGUUUCCGGCUGUUGGUCCUCGACGUGCAACUGGAGAGGAGGGACGUCUCCGAUGCGGCCACAGAUUCUGUUGUAUCCCAUAAUGAAUCAUUUUAUUUUUAAGCAUUGGCCGGACGACUGUUUUUACGGUAAUAAUCCUCGUCGUAUCCGCUGCUGUUUAAGGAUGUGGCCAAAGUUGUCUCUGCCAAGGAAAUGAUUUAUUUACCUGCCACGGUGACGGAUAAAACGAGGCUGAACAGCAAGACGAGAUGGCGCAUUUCGAGUAUCAACUGAAACAAGUUCACCUUUCGUAAUUCAAC
Long non-coding RNA from Daphnia pulicaria, 1322 nucleotides. RefSeq lists it as uncharacterized. The record is from RefSeq and is a predicted model, not a curated record. The transcript has 9 exons. Lineage: Eukaryota; Metazoa; Arthropoda; Branchiopoda; Diplostraca; Daphniidae.